This 513-nucleotide ribosomal RNA is filed under the name uncultured bacterium. RNAcentral's name for it is "partial 16S ribosomal RNA". It matches the Rfam family "Bacterial small subunit ribosomal RNA", at positions 28 to 507 of the family's 1533-position model. The record is from RNAcentral.
GACGAACGCUGGCGGCGUGCUUAACACAUGCAAGUCGAACGAGAGCGUAGAGAAAGCUUGCUUUUUCUACAAUCUAGUGGCAAACGGGUGAGUAACGCGUAAACAACCUACCCUACGGAUGGGGACAACAGAUGGAAACGGCUGCUAAUACCGAAUACGUGACGAAAGUGGCAUGAAUAUCGGAAGAAAGGAUGGCCUCUAUUUAUAAGCUAUCGCCGGUGGAGGGGUUUGCGUCUGAUUAGAUAGUUGGGGGAGUAAAGGCCCACCAAGGCGACGAGUAGUUGCCCGACUGGGAGGAGGAACGGCCCAAUUGGAACCGGGACCACGUUCAGACUCCUACCGGAGGCAGCAGUGGGGAGUCUUCCGCAAGGGGCGGAAGCCUGACGGAGCAACGCCGCGGUAGGGCAGACGGCCUUCGGGUUGUAAAGCUCUGUUAUACGGGACGAAUAAUCUUGUUGUUAAUACCCAUGCGAAGUGACGGUACCGUAUCAGAAAGCCACGGCUAACUACGUG